Molecule: unclassified non-coding RNA, 718 nt
Filed under: Hevea brasiliensis (rubber tree)
Lineage: Eukaryota; Viridiplantae; Streptophyta; Magnoliopsida; Malpighiales; Euphorbiaceae
Source: RNAcentral
AAUAAAUGCUUCUUCUACUUGGCAAAUUCUUAACAAAGCUAGUAUGGUAUUGAUGAAACCCACUUCUCCUUUUUCCACCCCAAAAUCUCCCGAACCUUCUGGGUUUCUCGAUUCCUGUUUCCUUUGUAAACAGAAACUCUUACCUGGAAAAGACAUCUACAUGUACAAGGGAGAAUGGGCAUUUUGUAGCGUAGAGUGCAGGUGCAAGCAGAUUUUUAUGGAUGAAGAAGAGAGUAUGAAAACGAAAUCUAAAGCUUCCAUUAAAUCGUGUACUUCUUCUUCUUCAUCAUCAUCGUCGUCUUACCGGAGUAGGAAAACGGCGGCGAGGAACCGACCGAAUGCGUUUGCAUACUGAGAAAGGAGUUGGGUUGGACGAAAAUUUCCAGUUUUGUCCUCGAUACAUUUUGUAAUGACUAUGGUAUCCGUUUUCAUUUUGAAUUUUGUGAAAUUAUUAAUAUUAGUAGUACGGAAAAAAACAAAAAACUGCUGCUAGUUUUCAUUUAUGAGCCCCUGGGUUUUUGGUUUUGGUCCAAUUUCACUAAAUUGCUAAAUAAUUUUAUUCAGAAUCUUUUCUUUUUCUAGAAUGGGGUUUGUAGGGACUGUCGGGAUAUUCUGGGUAAUCUAAUAAAAAAUGUGGCAUACCCCUUAAAGGAGUGAUGGAUGACUCACACUUUUUUAUUUUAUUACUGCAUUUAAUGUCAUUAAAUUUUAUUUUGUA